GCUGGGCAUGGUGGCACAUACCUAUAAUCCCAGUGACUCAGGAGGCUGAGGUAGGAGGAUCAUGAGUUCAAAUCCAGCAUCAGUAACUUAGCAAGGCCCUGAGCAACUCAGUGAGACCCUAUCUCUA
RNAcentral lists this small RNA (127 nucleotides) under Marmota monax (woodchuck). The record is from RNAcentral. Lineage: Eukaryota; Metazoa; Chordata; Mammalia; Rodentia; Sciuridae.